Molecule: ribosomal RNA, 612 nt
Filed under: uncultured Vibrio sp.
Lineage: Bacteria; Pseudomonadati; Pseudomonadota; Gammaproteobacteria; Vibrionales; Vibrionaceae
Description: bacterial SSU rRNA
Rfam family: Bacterial small subunit ribosomal RNA
Source: RNAcentral
AUCUGAACCUUCGGGGAACGAUAACGGCGUCGAGCGGCGGACGGGUGAGUAAUGCCUAGGAAAUUGCCUUGAUGUGGGGGAUAACCAUUGGAAACGAUGGCUAAUACCGCAUAAUGCCUACGGGCCAAAGAGAGGGACCUUCGGGCCUCUCGCGUCAAGAUAUGCCUAGGUGGGAUUAGCUAGUUGGUGAGGUAAUGGCUCACCAAGGCGACGAUCCCUAGCUGGUCUGAGAGGAUGAUCAGCCACACUGGAACUGAGACACGGUCCAGACUCCUACGGGAGGCAGCAGUGGGGAAUAUUGCACAAUGGGCGAAAGCCUGAUGCAGCCAUGCCGCGUGUAUGAAGAAGGCCUUCGGGUUGUAAAGUACUUUCAGUUGUGAGGAAGGGGGUGUCGUUAAUAGCGGCAUCUCUUGACGUUAGCAACAGAAGAAGCACCGGCUAACUCCGUGCCAGCAGCCGCGGUAAUACGGAGGGUGCGAGCGUUAAUCGGAAUUACUGGGCGUAAAGCGCAUGCAGGUGGUUCAUUAAGUCAGAUGUGAAAGCCCGGGGCUCAACCUCGGAACUGCAUUUGAAACUGGUGAACUAGAGUACUGUAGAGGGGGGUAGAAUUUC